CACGGAGUUAGCCGAUGCUUUUUCUCCGGGUACUCUCGAUGCGGUACACGUACCGCUUUUUGCUCCCCGGCAAAAGAGGUUUACAAUCCAUAGGACCGUCUUCCCUCACGCGACUUGGCUGGUUCAGGCUCUCGCCCAUUGACCAAUAUUCCUCACUGCUGCCUCCCGUAGGAGUCUGGUCCGUGUCUCAGUACCAGUGUGGGGGACCUUCCUCUCAGAACCCCUACGCAUCGUCGUCUUGGUGGUCCGUUACACCGCCAACUAACUAAUGCGGCGCAUGCCCAUCCGUCACCGGAUCGCUCCUUUGACCGGAAAAGGAUGUCCCCCCCCGGUAUUAUGCGGUAUUAGGCGGGAUUUCUCCCGGUUAUCCCUCUGUGACGGCCAGGUUGCAUACGUGUUACUCACCCGUGCGCCGGUCGCCGGCAGUAGUAGCAAGCUUACUACCCGCUGCCCCUCGACUUGCAUGUGUUAAGCCUGUCGCUAGCGUUCAUCCUGAGCCAGGAUCAAACUCU
This 512-nucleotide ribosomal RNA is filed under the name uncultured Porphyromonadaceae bacterium. Its description in RNAcentral is "partial 16S ribosomal RNA". Lineage: Bacteria; Pseudomonadati; Bacteroidota; Bacteroidia; Bacteroidales; Porphyromonadaceae. The record is from RNAcentral.